CUAGCCCGUGGGAACGCCGCUGAGCAGGCGACUUUUGCCGAUCCAGUUCGGCUUCGAGUGAAGAGGAGCAAAAGCCAGCCCGCUGGAAAGGCAUCGGGAGCUGAAACCCCACAAACACGGCCUCGUACCUCAGGCGGGUGUUAAAAGCACGGUCGAACCGAAAAUUCUAACAGACAGGCUGCAAAUAGAGGCUAGUGCUAGCAGUUAAGGCUAUGCAACUGGAUCGCCAUGCCAAGGGGAUUAAUCGCUCCCCUCUGAAAAGGCAUGUGAGGACACGGCUUCUGUUCGGGAAACUCUCCUCGAGGUUGCAGCAAGAGCGAGAGCACAGCUCCGAGCAGGAAAGAGGUCCAGGAGGUCACAGGAUGGACCGGGAGAACAAGGAAAUCUUGGGAUUCCCCAAACAGUCCCAGCAGAGGGGCUCUGGAUUAUCAGGCCAUUUGAGCAGGGCACAGAAUUCUCACGUUGACUCGGCCCCUCACAGCGUGACCGCGUCAGGCGAAUCGCCUCAUUAAACUCGAUUAAGGGUAACAAACAUGAUUUAUCUGCGAUCCACUCGGUGCUGUCUGGACGGAUCCAACGUUGCUGCAACGACUGCAUACGGCUAUCAAAAAAUUCCGGGGCAAAUAUUGUUCUUAAAGGGCACGGCCCUGCUCAACUCCGAGUGCUCCAACGCAGCCGUGCAGAGAAGCAACGGCGCAUAUCAGAGGAGUUUUCCAGGACAAAGCCCGGCCCCUGGAAGAAUUACACAGCAGGGCCAUUGGCACUGAGGCACAGCCGUGGUGAGGCUCACUAACUCUGUCUCCCUAACUCUCUCUCUCUCUCUCUUUGAGGUGCACCAUCAAUAAAGUCUCAUUGGGAUUGGUGUGAGGGGUGGAGGCAGCUGACAGACAGAGAGGCAUUCUGGGUAAUUCCCAGGGGCCUCUUGCAAGCAGUGGAGAAAAAGAGGGACGCUCCGGGGGGGGGGGGGACAGGCAGAGAAGGAAAGAAAGAGUGGAAGGGUUGAGGGGCAGGGUGGAGGGAGGUGAGCCAAACCCCUCAGCGGGGCAGACAAAGGUCGGCCUUCUCUUCCUCCUUCAGCAGGUCUGCUCCAUUCUCCAUACCCUUCAAAAGACCCACACCAUCAAAUCUGUUCGGUAUUCUUCAAGCUCCAGAAGCCCCCCAGUACUUACCCCCCACCCCCCACCGCAGAGGCAAUAAAUCAAGAACUGGGGCUUUCUGCUGUCUCCCUCCCUCCAGGAGUGUAUGCGGAUGACAGUGGUGCCACAUCAGGAACGGACCAGGCAGCGGGGUUCAGCUCCACACCACGCACCCGCGAAUAAACCAUUUCCCAUGCCGUUGUUCUCCUGGACGGCACCAUAUCAGACAGGAGGGGAGCUGUUGCCAUGCUCCACCUCUCCAGAUCCCUCUUAGCACAUUAUAACAUGCUAUGGCACCCAAUGUUACAUCCCCGCUUGAAGCCCGGACCACUUCUACCCUUCACGAAGAAUGAGUCAUGAGAACUUUAUCAGAAAUUAGAUUAUUAAUAUAAUUAUCCCUUAAUACUGGAUCCAAGGGGAUUACGGAGAGUUCCCCAAGAAAUGUGCUCUUAACAUAAAUGUGGAAAGUCUAAUGUGCUAAUAAGCUUUCCAACCACUUAGUAGAUAUACUGGGUUUUAAAAACAAACCGAACUGCAUAAGUCUUUGGCAAGAUUCGCCGCUCAGACAACGGAAACCCACGAUACUCUGCAGUGCUAAUAAAUCUGGGAGAACAGCAGGCCGAGAAUAAAGUUCCAGUGGUGGCUUUGGCUCGAAAAGGAACUACCUCAUGAAAGCCAUUUAGGAAAAACCCUUUCAAACAUUCGACACUUGCACUCAGAGCUGGCAACGAUUCCCCACCGCAACGAAAUAACGCACCAUGGAGAAGCUGUGAAAUGAGAGCAUUCUCAGGGCAAGGCUUCAUCUGUGUCCACUCUCGCUGGCUUGGAAGUGGGCCCCUCAGCCUUCGGAAUUAGCAUUGGAAGAGGGCCCCUCAGCCUUUGGAAUUAGCUUUGCCACUUGCAAGGGUCAGGCUUCUCCUUGAAGGAAUAAUUCACUCAAAUAUGCUAAUAUUCAAAUUAUUAAUUCAGGCCAAUGGAGACUAAUGGGUAUUAUGCAAAUAUGGUUAUCUUACUCAUGCCCAUUAGCUUUUAUUUCAUUUUAGACAUUCGAGCAUUUCAGGGGUGGGCAUUGAAUUUUGUCCCUACGACUUCUGUGAUGUUGGGCUCCUGUGUGUUCCUUCAAUUCGCACAUGUACCCAACAUCCGAGCUCUGGCACUGAGAGCUCGAACACCAAGAGAUAUGAAGUUUGGCCAGGUGUUUCACUCAGAAAGGGACUUGCUUGGCGAAGCGAGGAGAGGAGAGGAGACUCAGAUGUAGCAUUUUGCUAAUUAAAGCUCGGCCGAGUUCCAACUCGCACAGAGAGUGCGGGGGCCCUAAUUAUGAAUAAUAAAAAUGUCUGCUAAUCAAU
Electrophorus electricus (electric eel) is the source of this 2485-nucleotide non-coding RNA. NCBI's taxonomy places the organism in Eukaryota, Metazoa, Chordata, Actinopteri, Gymnotiformes, Gymnotidae. The record is from RefSeq and is a predicted model, not a curated record.